This 439-nucleotide ribosomal RNA is filed under the name uncultured bacterium. Its description in RNAcentral is "partial 16S ribosomal RNA". It matches the Rfam family "Bacterial small subunit ribosomal RNA", at positions 339 to 795 of the family's 1533-position model. The record is from RNAcentral.
CUACGGGCUGCAGCAGUGGGGAAUAUUGCACAAUGGGGGAAACCCUGAUGCAGCAACGCCGCGUGGAGGAUGACGCAUUUCGGUGUGUAAACUCCUUUUAUAUCCCAAGAUAAUGACGGUAGGAUAUGAAUAAGCACCGGCUAACUCCGUGCCAGCAGCCGCGGUAAUACGGAGGGUGCAAGCGUUACUCGGAAUCACUGGGCGUAAAGGGCGCGUAGGCGGGUUGUCAAGUCUUGAGUGAAAUCCAACGGCUCAACCGUUGAACUGCUUGAGAAACUGGCAGCCUAGAGUAAGGGAGAGGUAGAUGGAAUUGGUGGUGUAGGGGUAAAAUCCGUAGAGAUCACCAGGAAUACCCAUUGCGAAGGCGAUCUGCUGGAACUUUACUGACGCUGAGGCGCGAAAGCGUGGGGAGCAAACAGGAUUAGAUACCCGUGUAGUC